AGUGAACGCUGGCGGCAGGCCUAAUACAUGCAAGUCGAGCGGACGGAUGGUGAGCGUUCGCCUCUGACGGUGGCGACGGGCGGGUGGGUAACACGUAGAUAGCCUUCCUAUUUGUCGGGGGUGACUUCGUGGGGCAGGUUACACUACCGGAGCAUAUGUUGUACCGGUGGGAGCAGUGGUGAUAGGCGGUUUGGGUGACACUAUGAGAUGAUGCCGCGCCGCAUUAGCUAGUUGGUAAGGUAACGGCUUACCAAGGCAACGAUGCGUAGCCGACCUGAGAGGGUGAUCGGCCACACUGGAACUGAGACACGGUCCAGACUCCUACGGGAGGCAGCAGUAGGGAAUCUUCCGCAAUGGGCGAAAGCCUGACGGAGCAACGCCGCGUGAGUGAUGAAGGUCUUCGGAUCGUAAAACUCUGUUAUUAGGGAAGAACAAAUGUGUAAGUAACUAUGCACGUCUUGACGGUACCUAAUCAGAAAGCCACGGCUAACUACGUG
This 497-nucleotide ribosomal RNA is filed under the name uncultured bacterium. RNAcentral describes it as "partial 16S ribosomal RNA". It matches the Rfam family "Bacterial small subunit ribosomal RNA", at positions 29 to 507 of the family's 1533-position model. The record is from RNAcentral.